CUUUAUUGCACUGUUUUUGAAGAUGCUACAUUAACUUUUCCUGGAGCUACAUGAACAGAUGUCUGUAUUCCUUAAUGAAGUUCCAAUGUCAAGACAAGAAUAAUAGUUACAUCAAAGUAAAGGACUGAGGCUUCAUAAAAUUUUGCUCUUCUAGAACUAGAUGGUCCCUCCCUGUUGCUGAAGAAAGCACACAUACUUGGGACACAGAACAUAGAGACUUCAAGAUGGAAUUGUUUGGGUAGCAUUCACUCUACUGACUAGCUUUCACAGUAUCAGAAAAUGCUAUACAGGCUCCUGAGGAAGAAAGGUCAGCAAGAGUCUUAUGAAACUAUGAAUCAAACUAUGUACUCUGAGCAACAAUAAUGACAGCCUGUCUAGCUAUGACUAUCAGUGCUAUAGCAGGAUAAUAUAUGAAGGUAAACAACUACUUUCUGAUUGUAUGUAAGGCUCACUCUACAAGAUGGAACUCAUGACCAAUGCUGCAAAUCUGUUCAAGAACUAUUGGCUGAAAAGCUCAUAAACCCUAGGGAAAUAUAUUACUAUUAUUUUCAUGAAGGUAUAUAGUACCAAAC
This 572-nucleotide long non-coding RNA is filed under the name Cricetulus griseus (Chinese hamster). RNAcentral's name for it is "lncRNA (ENSCGRG00015042203.1)". Lineage: Eukaryota; Metazoa; Chordata; Mammalia; Rodentia; Cricetidae. The record is from RNAcentral.